This 234-nucleotide unclassified non-coding RNA is filed under the name uncultured fungus. RNAcentral describes it as "sequence contains 5.8S rRNA gene, ITS2, 28S rRNA gene". Lineage: Eukaryota; Fungi. The record is from RNAcentral.
AACGCAUAUGGCACCUGCCAGCCCUGCUGGAAGGUAUGCCUGUUUGAGAAUCACACUCUUCCUGAUCCAAUUGCAUCCACGUGCACUUGGUCGACAUGGGCCUUCAGCACUGAUCGCCCCGAAUUGCUCGCGAUCGUCGUGGUAGACGGUGUGGCAGCGAUGCCAUGCAAUGGUCGACGAUUGCCCAUCCGUGCUCGUGAUCUCAAAUCAGGCAAGCCUACCCGCUGAACUUAA